CGCUGUCAAAACGUUUACGGCUCGCGCGAGGCGUAAACGCCUGUCAAAGUGUUAUUUACAAACAGAGGACAACAGAGUGAGAAAAUGGAUAACAAGAAAGAAAAUAAAGCACCAAACCAAAAAGUGGUUAGUAUUUCUGCGAUAAAUGCGUAAGUGAGCUUGGUGAUCCGGAACGCUCCCUGAUUCCCUGACGUUGCUCGAACUGUUCCGAAAUUUUCAGCCACUCUUGUCUACUCGAAGACUGACUCAGCGCGACCAACACACUCGCAAUGUGCAUCAGCUACGGAAUCGACGGUUCUGCAUUCUUUAUCACAUGAAGAACAGAGUUUACAGAAGAGCUCUCCGGUCUCUGCCUCUCCUAACCGUGCUCCCACUCACUCUGUCGCAUCAACAUCCACAACGGGACAGGGUAGGCAACGUGUAGACUCUAACGAUAACGGAAUUGGGGCUACACUGCAGGCGCUGGUCGAAAUUACCAAUCGACACUUGCAGCGGUCUUCAUCCAUCAGAAUGGGUAACGAUGUAGCAAACUGGAUGGAUAAAAUCAACAAUCGAUACUCAACAUUGGCUUCCGUAAGACUGUACGAUGCAAUGUAAAGUAUCGAAACGGAGAUUAACGAACUCAGUGAAACAACGAUGUAGGCAACGAGCAGUAGGCAUAAGUUAAUACAAGCAAUAGGAGAUCUAUCGUUCCUUUAUUCAAACCAUUGGAUUGUUUAUUUUCGAAUUAAGCAAGGCAUUUCGCAAUAAACACAAGAUCACU
Anopheles bellator is the source of this 763-nucleotide long non-coding RNA. RefSeq lists it as uncharacterized. Lineage: Eukaryota; Metazoa; Arthropoda; Insecta; Diptera; Culicidae. The record is from RefSeq and is a predicted model, not a curated record. The transcript is spliced from 3 exons.